Mangifera indica (mango) is the source of this 3064-nucleotide RNA transcript. It is a transcript of the gene named acetyl-coenzyme A carboxylase carboxyl transferase subunit alpha, chloroplastic-like, with no coding region annotated. The transcript has 14 exons. The record is from RefSeq and is a predicted model, not a curated record. NCBI's taxonomy places the organism in Eukaryota, Viridiplantae, Streptophyta, Magnoliopsida, Sapindales, Anacardiaceae.
CAAAUGCAUUGUUGAAGUUCAACGGCCAAACCGAAAAGAGCUGGCUCAUUAUGAGCCCAGCAGGUCCAUCUUUCUGCAUAAGAAGUAUCGAUGCACACAUACAUACACACAAAGUUUCUGCUCUCUCUGCUUACUCUUAUUCUUCCUCUACUUGAAGAUCUCUAAUCGUCCGCCAUUUUCCUGAUUUGAUUCAAUUUGAGACAUUCGAGAGGUGUUGGGAUCUAAUUGGUGAGAGGUUAGAGUGAUUGGCUUUUGAUUGGAGUAUGGCGAGUAUGUCUCAUUCUUCGGUUGCAUUUACUGGAGCUUCAGCUUCGGAUAUUUUUCGGAGCUCCAGGAACGGUGUGAGUGGUGUUCCGUUGAAAGUGUUAGGUAGGACGCGGUUUAGAGUGAAUCAGAGUGGAUUAGGUGUGACUGCAAAGCUUAGGAAGGUGAAGAAGCAUGAGUAUCCAUGGCCGGAUGAUGCUGAUCCGAAUGUGAAAGGUGGAGUACUCUCUCAUCUCUCUCCUUUUAAGCCAUUGAAGGAGAAGCCAAAGCCUGUAACUUUGGAUUUUGAGAGACCGCUUGUUCAGCUGGAAAAGAAGAUCAUUGAUGUGAGGAAGAUGGCAAAUGAAACUGGUUUGGACUUCUCUGAUCAGAUAGUAUCUUUGGAAAAUAAGUAUCAACAGGCUCUAAAGGAUUUGUAUACACAUCUGACCCCUAUACAACGUGUGAAUAUUGCACGGCAUCCUAACAGACCCACUUUCCUUGAUCAUGUAUUUAACAUUACUGAGAAGUUUGUAGAGCUUCAUGGAGAUCGAGCAGGAUAUGAUGAUCCUGCAAUUGUUACUGGUAUAGGAACCAUAGAUGGCAGGCGGUACAUGUUCAUGGGUCACCAAAAGGGUAGGAACACAAAAGAGAACAUUCAGCGUAACUUUGGAAUGCCUACUCCUCAUGGUUACCGGAAGGCCCUCCGCAUGAUGUAUUAUGCUGAUCACCAUGGGUUCCCCAUAGUUACAUUCAUUGACACACCUGGUGCAUAUGCAGACCUAAAAUCUGAGGAAUUGGGUCAAGGUGAAGCCAUUGCUCACAAUUUGAGGACCAUGUUUGGUCUUAAGGUACCAAUUAUCUCCAUUGUUAUUGGCGAGGGUGGCUCUGGUGGUGCGCUGGCCAUAGGCUGUGCUAAUAAAUUAUUGAUGCUUGAAAAUGCUGUUUUCUAUGUUGCAAGUCCAGAAGCAUGUGCAGCUAUAUUGUGGAAAAGCGCCAAAGCUGCCCCAAAGGCAGCUGAGAAGCUGAAGAUUACUUCUAUUGAGUUGUGCAAGCUACAAAUUGCAGAUGCCGUGAUCCCUGAGCCUCUAGGAGGUGCACAUGCUGACCCUUCUUGGACUUCACAACAGAUAAAACAAGCUAUAAAUGAAUCAAUGGAUGAGCUUCUGAAGAUGGACACACAACAGCUACUAAAACAUCGCAUGCUUAAGUUCCGGAAAAUUGGUGGAUUUCAAGAAGGAAUCCCCAUUGAUCCGGAGAGAAAAGUCAACAUGAAAAAGAAAGAAGAACCUAUUUUUGGCCAGACUUCAAAUGAAAAAUUGGAGGGUGAGGUUGAACAUCUGAAACAGCAAAUUUUGAAAGCUAAGGAGACAUCAACAACACCUCCAGAAGUGGCUCUGAAUCAGAUGUUAGAGAAACUGAAAAGAGAGGUUGAUCAUGAGUUUUUUGAGGCAAUUAAAGCCAUGGGCUUGCAGGACAGGCUUGCUAUGUUGCGAGAAGAAUAUUUGAGUGCAAGUUCUGGGGAUCAACUCAUGCAUCCAGUUUUGAUGGACAAGAUAGCAAAGUUUAAAGAUGAGCUUGACCAAGGCCUGUCUGCAGCUCCUAAUUAUGGAAGCCUGAAAUAUAAGCUUGACAUGUUGAAGGAAUUCUCUAAAGCCAAGAGUUUAUCAGAGCGCAAAAGCAAGGCUUCUAGAUUGAAGCAGGAUAUCAAUGAAAAAUUCAAAGAAAUCAUUGGUCAAUCUGAUUUAAAAGAGAAGAUGGAAGCAUUAAAGGCUGAAAUUCAGGAGUCUGGGGUAUCCAAUUUAGGGGAUCUAGAUGAAGAGGUGAAGGAGAGAAUUGUGUCAGUGAAACAAGAGAUAGAGUCAGAACUAACCAAUGUUCUCAAGUCCAUGGGUCUGGAGAUUGUGGAUGUAAAAUCAAAGAAGGCUGGAGAGCUCAGUGAAGAGACUUCAUUUUCAAACUUCAAGGGUAAGAUGGACAAAUUGAAUGAAGAAAUUAACAAAAAAAUAGAAGAUGUUAUUAAAUCGUCAGAUCUGAAAGCCACGAUUGAAUUUCUGAAGUUGGAGAGAGCAAAGGCAGGGAAGGCGCCAGAUAUUACAUCGAAAAAUAAGAUUGAGGCACUAGAGCGACAAAUUAAGCAAAAGCUUUCAAAGGCUAUAAGCUCCUCUGAAUUAAAGAAGCAGCAUGAGGAUCUGAUGGCUGAGAUCUCUGAAACCACAGAGUCUGUUGGAGGAUUAGAUGAAAGUUUGAAGACCGACACUUCCAACUAUGAUGAGUCCACAGUAGAGAUUAAUGUGGGUGCAAACAGCAGCUUUGCUUAGUAUCAAGAAGGACUCUUACAUCACCACCUCAAGGCCUAGAAGAUCAGAUUCUAGUUAUAAUGUUUUAUAGUGUUGCAUACUUUGUGCUUACUGGAUAAUUGGUGAUGAAAGAUUGCCAAGGUUCGUAAAUCCAAUUUUUUGAAGGGGUGGAUUCGAACCAAGUCGAGUCUGAACAAGGUAUUUAUGUUUCUAUCAGAACAUUACUGGUGAAGUGCAAAGCAGUUAGCAGUGAUUGAUCAGGCACAUGGAAUUGCAUCAACCUUCUUUCAGACAGGAUACUAGCACUGCGUGGUCACCUUUGCUAGAGGUCUUGCAGUCGCACAAGCACAAGGAGUACACUGUUCCUGGUUGAGCACAUUUCUUGCUGUAACUUUUUCUGUUCAUUUAUCCUUGUUUUCAUUACUUUAUUUUGGUGGAAACAGUGUAUAGAUUAAGUGAGAGCAAAGGGGAAACUAAAUAUCAUGCUUCCAAAUGUCAGGAAUAAGCCUUUUUUCUGAGUA